This 215-nucleotide long non-coding RNA is filed under the name Elaeis guineensis (African oil palm). RNAcentral describes it as "long non-coding RNA (EGUI_LNC018895)". Lineage: Eukaryota; Viridiplantae; Streptophyta; Magnoliopsida; Arecales; Arecaceae. The record is from RNAcentral.
GUCAUAGACAGUACUCUUUCGCCGCAGGCUUAUCAUCACAGGCAGUACUUUCUCACCAUAGGUGUGCUAUAUAUUAGUAAACCCCAUCGGAUCCAUCAUUUUAUGACAAUCAUAAUUUAUCACUACAGGCAUGCUAGUUCCACCACAGGUAUAAUACCUUGCCACAGGCAUACCAAUUUUUGCCACAAGCUCACCACAGACAUACUAGCUUCGCC